This 752-nucleotide ribosomal RNA is filed under the name uncultured rumen protozoa. RNAcentral describes it as "bacterial SSU rRNA". The stretch from base 1 to 672 matches the Rfam family "Eukaryotic small subunit ribosomal RNA", at positions 309 to 1116 of the family's 1831-position model. The record is from RNAcentral.
GUCCGAUUAUUUCGAUGGUAGAUUGGACUAUAUGGCUUUCACGGGUACAGGGAAUUAGGGUUCGAUUCUGGAGAAGGAGCCUGAGAACGGCUACUACAUCUACGGAUUUUUCUCUUGCGCGUAAAUUGCCCGAGUACAAGUAAAAAGGAGGUGGUGACAAGAUAUAACGACGCGAUUAAUGUCGUGAUUGUAGUGAGGAUAUUCCAAAAAGAAUCACAAGAACGAUUAGAGGGCAAGUCUGGUGCCAGCAGCCGCGGUAAUUCCAGCUCUAAUAGCGUAUAUUAAAGUUGCUGCAGUUAAAAAGCUCGUAGUUGGAUUUCAAGGAUUAUAUUUUUCCUUUGGAAUGUGUACCCUACUAGCCUUUCAGGCUGUUACUGUGAGAAAAUUAGAGUGUUUAAAGCAGGCUCAUGCAAGCUACAUUAGCAUGGAAUAACGAAUGAGUCUAGAAUCUUGGUAAUCAGACCGACCCAGAGACAGUGGGGGCAUAGAUUUAAUUGACAGACGCUGAAUCUGGAUGUAAGACUACGUAUGCGAAGCAUUUGCCACGCUGUCUUCAUCAUCAGACGAAAGAUAGGGAUCAAGACAUCAGAUACUGUCGUAGUCUAUCUAUAACUAUGCCGACUAGGAUGAUGAACUCACAUUUCAGUACUUAUGACAUCAGUCUUGGUUUUGGGGGAGUAUGUCCAGACUGACUAGAUGACGAGACCCAGAGUGACCUGCGCUAUGACCAACGGACUACAGUCGACUUAGGU